AGCAGUCGCCGCGGGAAUACAGAGGGUGCAAGCGUUAAUCGGAUUUACUGGGCGUAAAGGGCGCGUAGGUGGUUAUGUAAGUGAGAUGUGAAAUCCCCGGGCUCAACCUGGGAACUGCAUCUUAUACUGCGUAGCUGGAGUGCAGUAGAGGGUAGUGGAAUUUCCGGUGUAGCGGUGAAAUGCGUAGAUAUCGGAAGGAACACCAGUGGCGAAGGCGGCUACCUGGACUGACACUGACACUGAGGCGCGAAAGCGUGGAGAGCAAACAGGAUUAGAUACCCCCGUAGUCCCUGUCUCUUAUAA
This 303-nucleotide ribosomal RNA is filed under the name uncultured bacterium. Its description in RNAcentral is "partial 16S ribosomal RNA". It matches the Rfam family "Bacterial small subunit ribosomal RNA", at positions 507 to 809 of the family's 1533-position model. The record is from RNAcentral.